GAUGAACGCUGGCGGCGUGCUUAACACAUGCAAGUCGAACGAAGCACUUUAACCUGAUUCUUCGGAUGAAGGUUUUUGUGACUGAGUGGCGGACGGGUGAGUAACGCGUGGGUAACCUGCCUCAUACAGGGGGAUAACAGUUAGAAAUGACUGCUAAUACCGCAUAAGACCACGGAGCCGCAUGGCUCAGUGGGAAAAACUCCGGUGGUAUGAGAUGGACCCGCGUCUGAUUAGGUAGUUGGUGGGGUAACGGCCUACCAAGCCAACGAUCAGUAGCCGACCUGAGAGGGUGACCGGCCACAUUGGGACUGAGACACGGCCCAAACUCCUACGGGAGGCAGCAGUGGGGAAUAUUGCACAAUGGGGGAAACCCUGAUGCAGCGACGCCGCGUGAGCGAAGAAGUAUUUCGGUAUGUAAAGCUCUAUCAGCAGGGAAGAAAAUGACGGUACCUGACUAAGAAGCACCGGCUAAAUACGUGCCAGCAGCCGCGGUAAUACGUAUGGUGCAAGCGUUAUCCGGAUUUACUGGGUGUAAAGGGAGCGUAGACGGCUGUGUAAGUCUGAAGUGAAAGCCCGGGGCUCAACCCCGGGACUGCUUUGGAAACUAUGCAGCUAGAGCGUCGGAGAGGUAAGUGGAAUUCCCAGUGUAGCGGUGAAAUGCGUAGAUAUUGGGAGGAACACCAGUGGCGAAGGCGGCUUACUGGACGAUGACUGACGUUGAGGCUCGAAAGCGUGGGGAGCAAACAGGAUUAGAUACCCUGGUAGUCCACGCCGUAAACGAUGACUACUAGGUGUCGGGGAGCAAAGCUCUUCGGUGCCGCAGCAAACGCAAUAAGUAGUCCACCUGGGGAGUACGUUCGCAAGAAUGAAACUCAAAGGAAUUGGCGGGGACCCGCACAAGCGGUGGAGCAUGUGGUUUAAUUCGAAGCAACGCGAAGAACCUUACCUGCUCUUGACAUCCCGGUGACCGGCAUGUAAUGAUGCCUUUUCUUCGGAACACCGGUGACAGGUGGUGCAUGGUUGUCGUCAGCUCGUGUCGUGAGAUGUUGGGUUAAGUCCCGCAACGAGCGCAACCCUUAUCUUCAGUAGCCAGCAAUUUGGAUGGGCACUCUGGAGAGACUGCCAGGGAUAACCUGGAGGAAGGUGGGGAUGACGUCAAAUCAUCAUGCCCCUUAUGAGCAGGGCUACACACGUGCUACAAUGGCGUAAACAAAGGGAAGCGAGCCUGCGAGGGUAAGCAAAUCUCAAAAAUAACGUCUCAGUUCGGAUUGUAGUCUGCAACUCGACUACAUGAAGCUGGAAUCGCUAGUAAUCGCGAAUCAGCAUGUCGCGGUGAAUACGUUCCCGGGUCU
RNAcentral lists this ribosomal RNA (1352 nucleotides) under uncultured bacterium. Its description in RNAcentral is "bacterial SSU rRNA". It matches the Rfam family "Bacterial small subunit ribosomal RNA", at positions 28 to 1381 of the family's 1533-position model. The record is from RNAcentral.